CAAGUCGAGCGGGCGUAGCAAUACGUCAGCGGCAGACGGGUGAGUAACGCGUGGGAACGUACCUUUUGGUUCGGAACAACACAGGGAAACUUGUGCUAAUACCGGAUAAGCCCUUACGGGGAAAGAUUUAUCGCCGAAAGAUCGGCCCGCGUCUGAUUAGCUAGUUGGUGAGGUAACGGCUCACCAAGGCGACGAUCAGUAGCUGGUCUGAGAGGAUGAUCAGCCACAUUGGGACUGAGACACGGCCCAAACUCCUACGGGAGGCAGCAGUGGGGAAUAUUGGACAAUGGGCGCAAGCCUGAUCCAGCCAUGCCGCGUGAGUGAUGAAGGCCCUAGGGUUGUAAAGCUCUUUUGUGCGGGAAGAUAAUGACGGUACCGCAAGAAUAAGCCCCGGCUAACUUCGUGCCAGCAGCCGCGGUAAUACGAAGGGGGCUAGCGUUAUCCGGAUUCACUGGGUUUAAAGGGUGCGCAGGCGGGCUUUUAAGUCAGCGGUGAAACCCGCGGGCUCAACCCGCGGACUGCCGAUGAUACUAGGGGCCUUGGAUGUCGCUGAGGGCAGCGGAAUGGGGCAUGUAGCGGUGAAAUGCAUAGAUAUGCCCCGGAACACCGAUUGCGGAGGCAGCUGCCUAAAGGACGAUCGACGCUGAGGCACGAAAGCGUGGGUAGCGAACAGGAUUAGAUACCCUGGUAGUCCACGCCCUAAACGAUGAUUACUCGACGUCCGCGGCAUACUGUGGGCGUCCAAGCGAAAGCAU
Molecule: ribosomal RNA, 755 nt
Filed under: uncultured bacterium
Lineage: Bacteria
Description: bacterial SSU rRNA
Rfam family: Bacterial small subunit ribosomal RNA
Source: RNAcentral